GUGAAUCAUCAAAUUUUUGAACGCAAAUUGCACUCUCUGGUAUUCCGGAGAGUAUGCCUGUUUGAGGGUCAGUUCAAAUCAAAAUCGGUGUGGUUGCUGGCUUUCGUGGUGACGCACUGGACUUGGGUCGUCUUGACUUCGGUUAAGUGCCCUAACAUUUUGCAUGAUUUUUUCACAUCUUCUUUA
This 186-nucleotide unclassified non-coding RNA is filed under the name Glomus sp. Its description in RNAcentral is "partial contains 5.8S ribosomal RNA and internal transcribed spacer 2". The stretch from base 1 to 71 matches the Rfam family "5.8S ribosomal RNA", at positions 84 to 154 of the family's 154-position model. Lineage: Eukaryota; Fungi; Glomeromycota; Glomeromycetes; Glomerales; Glomeraceae. The record is from RNAcentral.